CUUUCUGUGAAUACAAGCACAAUCACAAGCCAUGUUAUGAAGGGAACAAGAUACAAGUCAAUGCAACCUGCACUUACUUUACAACUAAAACAGUCUCGAUAUUAAAAUUUUCUAUUUCACAUCAACAUCAGUGCAAUCUCACUAUUUUAUAUAGACAUCAAUUUACUUUUGAUAGAAAAACAUCAACGUAAUUGAUCAUUCACGACUAUCUAAUUGAUUUUUAUUGAUUUUCCAAGUUCAUUUCACCACAACAAUCCAUUUUUCAUUACCACAAUGAACUCUAUCUUGAUCUCUGUGGUUUUCCUAUCUUUAAGAAGCGAACAUCUGCAAUUGAACCUUGCUUUAGAUUCUUCAAGAAUAAAAAGAACACAGCAUUGAUAAUAAAAAAGAAUUGAGAAGGUUCCUAAUCAUAGUUAUUAUUAACUGACAAUCACUUUAGAACAAAACUCUAACCCCCACCCCACUUCCACCUGCCCUGAUAAAGAGACGAGAGAAGAAUCAAGGUAUGGUCACCAGGUGAAUAAUUCCAAACACUUUACUCAAUCUUUUGUUUAAUUGUUCAACAUUAGUCCUAAAAUGUUCCAACCCAGCAUCCCUAAUGUGCAAAGUAUCAUACAAAACUACAAAAACCGAAUAACGCUCCAGUUUUGCCAAAAUCCCAAAGACUCAGUCAACCAACAAUCUAUAUUCUAUACCCAUCUCGUGAGGCCUAGAAGCUGAUUUUCUCCAUGUGAAAACUUUACCAAAGCAAAAUUCAAUUAUUGUGGCAGCAGGACCAUUAUGCGAACCGACACAUCCAUUUUCACACACGCGCACAAAAACCAAAAAGAAUUCCAAUAUAGCACAAAUACCGGAACAGAGAAAAAAGAGAGACCCAUUCUUAGAGUUCUAGGAGCUUGAAAUCAAUCAUGAUAGGAAAGAUAAAACAGAGUUAAAAUAAGAGAUAAAUUAAAAAGAGAGAAAAAAAGAGA
Long non-coding RNA from Populus euphratica (Euphrates poplar), 971 nucleotides. RefSeq lists it as uncharacterized. NCBI's taxonomy places the organism in Eukaryota, Viridiplantae, Streptophyta, Magnoliopsida, Malpighiales, Salicaceae. The record is from RefSeq and is a predicted model, not a curated record. The transcript has 2 exons.